Amphiprion ocellaris (clown anemonefish) is the source of this 13067-nucleotide long non-coding RNA. RefSeq lists it as uncharacterized. The record is from RefSeq and is a predicted model, not a curated record. Lineage: Eukaryota; Metazoa; Chordata; Actinopteri; Pomacentridae. The transcript has 2 exons.
CAGAGGAUGAACCCUGAUGACUUUCACCGGCAUAUUCUGCUAGUGUCGGGGGCCUCAGUUAUAUUUUAAUACAAUUACUAUUUUCACAUAAACACAAUGGGUUGCCACUAAAUGUUGUACAGGUAUUCAUAUUAGAUCUAGACUCUGGAGUCUGAAAGACUUUAGUGAUCUCCUGACUUUGUUAAGUGCCAACAAGAGGUCAACAUUUAUGGUGAAACAUCAAUAGCUAUCAGAAAGAAUCGUAAUUUAACCUAAUCUAAACAUAUUCCUUGGCAUAAAGAUUUAGCACUAAUUAGAAGAAUGUUGUCAUUGUUAAAUUGCAAGAAAUUCUUUGACAUUUCAUUUUUUAUGUCUUUUAAUGCUUUAAGUGAUAACAGAUUUUCUUCCCGUCUGUCAUUGUUACAUGUAUUGCUUCAUUUCCACCGCCUUCAUCCAGCUCUUUUUACCUUAAAUAGGUGUUCCAGGUCAUGUUUUAUCAUAAGAAUCCAAUUUUCUUAAAAUCUCUGAUGCUUAUGCAGCAACAGAAUACAAAUUUUAUUCAUGUCUAUCCUAAAAUAUCCAUCUAAAGUAAGAAGCAUUGCCAGUUUGUCAGAUUGUGGCCUCUCCGCAUGUUUACUACACUGUAAUGGAGUACACUAAUUGACUUUACUCACCGUGUUGGCAGCACAGGGCCCGUCUGCUUCCCCCAGCCACUCAGUCUAAUGGCACUGAAGGGUCUUGUUUAUAACAGUCCUGUGCUUUUAGAGGCCAUUUCCAGAGAUGCACCCUGCUCUUUGCGUCGGGUUGUAAAAAGUGUGAAUGGGAGACUAAUAAAGGUGCAAUUACAGCGAUUGUAUGCCUGCGUGUGUGUGUGUGUGUGUGUGUGUGUGUGUGUGUGUGUGUGUGUGUGUGUGUGUGUGUGUGUGUGUGUGUGUGUGUGUGUGUGUGUGUGUGUGUGUGUGUGUGUGUGUGUGCGUGUGCUUGUGUGGUGACACUGCUGCCGACCGCUACUGUGGAUGUGCCUCCUGCAGCUGAUGAUAAUGGAUUAUUAGGACACCCUGAGGCAACACACAGGAGAGUCUCAGUCUGAGGUGCUGAUACCUGAAAGCCUGACAUAUAGCAAUUCUUUCAUUGAAAGCAAAGCUAAACAAGAAACUGACUGCUCUUCACUUGAACUCUUCACAAUAAGCUACUUGGAUAGUUCAGUAUCAGCUGAAUGUCAUGAACCCUUUUGUUAUGGCCACUUAAGCUGUAUUGAUUUGACUUUCAGCUGGAGGAACAUAAAGUUGAUAUGUAGCUUGUGAGAACAGAAUUGCAGCUGUGGGAGGCCAGAAAAAAAUCCUCUGCUACAAGCACGGUUGUUUCAACACAGCAGUGGACCUCUUGUCACAUUUAGAGCAGCUUGUUGUAUUAUAAAUCAACAGGCAGGAAAUAAGAGUUAUUCACUCAGACUGUCGGGGUGCCAAAAAGAUCCAGACACCAGCAUGUUAUGUGUGCAGGAUUUGAAUUACUAGUGGUACGUCACUGCACAUACAUUAUAAAUGGACACAGUAGGUGGAGAUAAAUAUUAAAGGGUUGACUUCAAAGAAUCAAGCUUUCUUAAAUACGUAAACCUCAGUCUUACCUCAUGCUCUCCAUGGAUAUUUGUAAAAGCUAAUGGUCAAUAAAAGCCUCACAAAACUCAUGCACACACAAGCAGCACACACACACACAUUUCUCACUUUUAAGGUUAUAUACUAUAUGGAUAUUAGAAGAUUAUAAUCAUUUUUAUGCAUUUUGUUUCAAUAACUAGACAUGUUUUUCUUUCAGCCGCUGAAAAUGAUGUCUAAGUGAAGUCUUUCAAUUAAAGCUUGUAUCACGCUGAGAUUCUAAUUGCGUACUUCAGUGGAUCUCUAAGUGGAGCCCUUGGGAGGAGGGGAUCCUUUGAAAAUGAGGAACAGUUUAAUUUUUACAUCACUUCGUUUAGCACAUCACAUCAUUAGCUUGCGGAACUCUCAGAUAUGCAUGUUCAUUCUCAGAUCAACAUAAAGUUUGGUGUGGUCAGAUGAAUCAUAAAGGCUUUUACAUUUUAGAGAUGUGUUUUCUUUAGGUAAAGCUACGGCAUCUAACAGAGGGGAUUGAUGGGAAGGCCACCUUGUGAGCUAAAGGUUUGAAGGCUUGCUAACAGCCUGCAGUGUCCAUUAUGCAGACUACAUAAAACUGUGAUGGGAAGCCAAAAAUGCUGCUGUUUUAAGCAUUCGUCAUAGUCUUUUUACCUGUAGAGCAAUGACAUAAAUGCUAUAAAAAGUACCAUCAGGAGUUGUUCGACAUUUGGCAAAUACAGAGUUCAAGGAGUUAGAUUUUUCUCUGCAAUCAAAAGUAUUUUUUAAAAAAUGAUCACUUAUUAAAUGAAUAAUGAUGAUUUUAAGCUGAUUACUUAUAAACAGUAGUUAUAAGUUUGUAGUUUUUCUGUUAUUCAAAAGUAAUUGGACGUGUCAUGUGCUUCAUUUGCAUAAUUUUGAACACAAUUUGUAAAGUUUACUUAAAAAAAAAAAAAAAAAAACAUUAAAAAGAAGAAGUUGCUCCAGUGUAAGGUGUUAAAUAGGGACAGGACCUCAAGUUGAAGAAAAAAUGAUCAUGCCAAUUUCAUUUAGUCCCCUCAUCUUAAAAUGCAUAAUGCAGAAAUUAGAGUUUAAACUAUACACAAUAUUAAGAUGACGCAAUGGCCAACAUUAUUAUGUCAACACAUCCCAUUAAAAUACUGUUUGCAACUUAAAAGUUUUAUCUCAACAAAUAAAACCAUGCAUUUAAUUAAGUGGUGUGAAUAAGUCCCUUGAAUUAGUUGUCCAAAGUUAAAAAAUAAACUUAGCAGCACUUGUGGAGCUCACUAAUGUGGUGUCUUCUUUUAUAAACCCUAAAUGCAAAAAACAACUAUUUUUGAGACCAUUCCUUAGCAAUCAGUGCUAAUCCCUUAUUCAAAACUUAACUCCAAACUCUGAGUGAUAUCUCACCUAACUAAUGUCUCACAUCACAACAGGCUGCAAAACCUGACCAGCUCUUACAGAAAACAAACUUUCUGAUCUAUUUUGUGGGCAUUUUGGAUUGACAUGAAAAGUUGCAUGUUUUUUUUGUUUGUUUGUUUUUUGGGGGGGACAAAAAUCCGGUCACAGGUCACCCUGCUCAUCAGGUAGAUCAGCUGCACCUGUGAAGUGGAGCUCAGUUGUAGGCUGUUGGUGAUCAGCCUGGAUGGGUGACUUUAUAAAGAGAGGUUUUUGACUCUCUUGUCAGUUGAAGGAAGAGUGGCUCAGGAGAUUCAGCAACAUCAGCAGGUUUUCUUUCAAAUACUGAGUUUGAGUAUCUAAAUAUGACAAUCAAGCUAUUCUUUGCUUCUUUUUUAAUCUCUUCUCAAACAACCCCUUACAAAACUACUGAAUCCCACAUAAGUUGUGUUUUGGGUCAUACGUUUCAGUUGUUUUAUCCUUUUGAUAGGUUCAGUGAGUGGUAGUUGGGACAAAUCUCCCUGUCACCUUUUAGAAAAUGAAGAGCCAUUUCUAUUUUGAACCCCAUUUUGAAUGUGCAGUUUCCCUUUUGAAGACCUUUGAUAUCUUGUGUUGUGUUCUGGAGGAGACGAGACGUGAUAUGGGUCUGUAGACAUAUCUGAGUCAUAUAAUUGUGUUCAAAAACUACGAAAAGCUGGAUUUUGCAUAUUAUAGCACCCUAAGAGCCAUUCUUUGAGUCUUCAUAUUAAUAGCAAUUUAGGCAGCAGUAGACUAUCUGGUUCUGGACUAAUGUAUUCAUAAGCUUCAAGCAUAAAGUAAUAAAAUACAGGUUUGGCUCUUAAGUUUCAAGUGAAAGGAGGAAUCGCUGUGCAAUGGUCUUUGACUUAGAUUCAUGAACGUAUUGGGCAACAAGCUGAUUUCAACAACAGUGAAGAGUAUAACAGAGUAUUUGUAAGGUUUUAAUGAUGAUUUAAUGAAAAUUACUGAGACAGAAACCAAAAGCACUGUUUUGAUAUUUGCACAGGGGGACCUUUAAGCCAUCGUUGCCUUGCUAUACUUACCAGAGAAUGAUGUAGGUGCUAUUAAGCACUGCACAUGGGUGGGAUAAAUCCUUUGGAUCCAGUGGGAAAUGUGGCGUCUUUCUCUCUUUCUCUUCGUCCUUGUUCUGUUGCCGCCAUCCUGCUGACCGAAGCCUAUAAUUUGGAAUGUGUAUAAUGGAUAAAUUAGCUGUCAGCCAAUAAAUCUGCGGAAAAGGGAGCCACAGAGGUUCAUGCGAUCUGACCCAGGAAACUGUGCUGUGAGAAUAGUUAAGCAGCUGUGGGAGGACGGGCCGCGGUGAGUUACGGCUCCGCGGGGCCAUAAACAAAACACAAGCAAAGGGGCUUUUGAAGCUAACAAGACCAUGCAAGGGUCAAAUGCGUAGUUGGAGACAUUUAAUGUGUCUUUGGCAUUCAAAGAGUUGGCCCACAAUUUGCAUUCAUCUAAUGGAAAAAAGUAUAAACAGGAGGAGAGCUGGAAAAACAAAUUCCCACUUUAAAAAUCUGUCAUUUCUUACAGUGUGGUGUGCACUACACUGUUUCAUCGAAAGUGGUUGUUUUGUUUUUUUUUGAGUGAAGACAUUAACUGCUGAUGUUAGGUGUCAUUUCUGAAAGUCAGCCAUGCUCCUGUCAGGCUUCUGUCUGAUUAAGGGAAAAGUUGGCUGACACACCUGCUCUUCUAGCUGACAGGCUACUUGCUGCCUCAUUGCAUGUCCUGACCUUUUAGUCAAAGUGCAAACAAAUGACUCUCAGACAGAAGCAGGAGCUCCAGAUAAUGAUGGUGGCACCAUACACUUGUUUCAGACCGCUGCAAAGGUUGCCUAGAGUCAGUGGUGAAACUUUCCGAUUAUGAUUUUCUCUUGGGCUGACUGACUUCUUUUUUUUUUUUUUUUUGAUUUAUUUCCCCCUCUUCCUUUUCUGUGAGUUUCUUGUGAGAACAGGCCAUGCCACAAUAUUUUAUUACUGUUAGUAUUUUUGAAUCUCAUCCAGUGUUUUGGUUUAUGACCUUGCAAAAGUAGCAUUGUGUUCUCCUCAGCCUCAGCUACACUUAAGAGUUUGGUUGACAUCAGAUUCCAAAACCUGGGAUUAGAAUCGGAGGCAAGAAAAGCCUGUUUUCCCAUUGAUACACUUUACCUUAAUCUGAACUGAAUCUGUUCUCUAACCCCAUGUUUUGAUGCCUAAACUGACCCCAGUUUUACCUUUUCCCCCCAACCAUUUAUCUCUGCUGACUUCCAAGCGUUGGAAUCUGAUGUUUAUUACCUUUUACUGUUUAGUGCUAAUUAUCACAUUAGCAUGCUAACACAAUAAACAAAGAUGGUGACCAUGGUAGACAUUAAGCCUGCUAAACAUCAGCAUGUUAGAAGUCCAAUUGUGAGCUGUCAGUCAGUAUUUUGGUAUGUUCAUAGGCAUUCUUGGUGCCAUCUAUAGACGUCCUCUCCCCACCAUCUUUUGCACUAAUGCAUCACCACUCUCCCACCACCGUGCUUCACUGUCAGGACUAUGAAUUCACUGUAGUGGUCCUGAACAGUUUCGUGCCAAAUAUGCUGGAUCCCAUCUGAGCCAAACAAAUUUACGGAUUAUACCUAGACAUAACGAGCUUACUCACUCUAAAAGGUUCUCAUAAUGUAACAGUAGUUGCUCAGUAAGAAUGACUUCGAUUCUUGUUCCUAUUUUUAUGCUGUGACAGAAAUUUCUGACUAAAUCUUUUCAUUUGUAAGGCAACUUUGGUUUGUCUUCAUGAUUUGGUCUAUCAAAUGUGGUCAGAUACUGGAGCAUCCAAACAGAGUUUUACACUUAAGAGGGAAAAAAAUGGGUGCAUUUGACUUGGAUAUAUCACACUAGCCAUAAUAGCUAGAGUUACUGGAGUUUGGUUUUUACUCCUCUUUUCCAACUUUUGGGAAUUUUUACUAUUCUGUUUUCAAGAACACACAUUUCUACGAUAUAAUGUUUUUUUUAAAAAUUAUUUUAUUUAUUAUUUUAUGGUAUGGUAAGACAUCUGAAGUUUGGAAAAAAUGUUUAAUUUCACCAACUGUAUGCAUCUGUGUACUUUCCUUAGUAAGGCAGGACAAAGAUGAAUGCUUGGUUUCUAAAUGUAUGUAAAAAAAAAAAAAAAAGUAUGAUUUUGUAAUAUUUCCCUCUUAGGCACAUUUUUACAAUCGAACUGAUGUUUCAGGUCCCUGCAUGUUGCCAAGGCAAAUAUCUUGUGCAGGUAAACAACAUGUUCCUGCGUUACUUUUCCCAUUAAUCAUUGUAAUGUCUCUACGUUGUUCCACCUCGUUCUUGUGAUAAAUCAGAAUAGCGUGUGGAUUUUAUCAUUCAUUUUAUGCACUUGGUACACUCCGUUACCCUUGGAGGCUUUCUCAUCCCUCACAACUGUCACGUACGAUUUCACAGCAACACAUUGUUCUGGAUUAAAGUAAUAGAAAGCUGUAAAAUGCACUGAAGGUGUCACUUCUGAAAACAGUCCCCAGUUGAUCAGACGUUUGUAUUUAAUUGUUGCAAAGUUUGACAUUACUGCAGGCAGCAAGAAGGAUGAAGUUGGUGAAGGUACAGAAUGAUUUACAUUUCAACAGCUCACUCAGAAAACUUUUUAAGAAACCACAGAAUAAAUUACUUGUUUUCUGUAUACUGUCUUUUGAUCUUCUGGGAGCUUUUUGAAAACUGUAUUUGAGUUAAUGUUUGAUUUAUGAAAAUGGGUCACAUCCCUUAGGGACAUUCUGCAGCACAUAAUAUUUUAGGUGCAUGUUGAAUGGGAAAAGUGACAUCAUUACUCUCCAUUUCUCUUGAUAUCUAGCGGCACAAUAAUCUUAUUACCAUGGGCUUUACACCAUUGAUCAGUCAUGCAAGUCAAGCUUAGAAUGAUUGCUCUGAAUACAGCUAUCUGUGUUUUAAAUUAUAAUGGAAAACAAACAAACACUGUAGAUGUGCAUGAUUUCAAGUAGUGAUCUGAAAAUGUAUUGCCUCUAGAUAAAAGCAAGAUAUUUUGCAUUAUUUCCAUUCUCCAUGCUGAGCUUCAGAUCAGCAAUAUUUUUGGCUUUAACUUUUAUUGUGAAAUAGCUAAGCUCUGAGGGCAGGGCUCCACAUCUGUCUUUUUGACUGAUGUUCAGACAUGAUGGAAUAACAUAAACAUGUGGUUCAGCGUUUCUUUUUGUUUAUCCAGCAGCUUCUUCUCUUUAAUCCGAGAUGGGAGAUGUGCACACACAGUUUCAGCACCUGCUGAACUUGCUGGAGUGAUGUGGUGCCUCCGAGGUUUAUCGCACCAACAGAUAAAAAAAGAAAAAUUAAUUUAGGUCAUGGCAUAACCAGGCUGCACACGAUAGUUUAUACUAAGAUGUAUCACAAAUGGUUUCCUGAGAGUUUCACUGUCGUCUGUCAAAAUAAAUGUUGUGACAUUCUACUUGUAAAUACGGCGAGUUGUGGUAUAAUGCCGAGGCUUAUCGAGCACGUUCGAGCCUUUUAGUGCACCUCCACAGUGAGACAGCAUCAAAUCAGCAGGCAGCAGAGGAGUCGCCUCUUUAUCAGUUAAUGGACGAGUACACUGGAAUGUUGGCCUGUUCUCGGUGCUGACAUUUAAACUGAUGAGUCCUGCUCUGCAGCCCAAACAAAGGACUGUCAGACUGUUGGGAAGAGGAACACUUUCAUCCCAGAGAUAAUAACAAUACAUGGGGGUAGCAAAAGCGAGUGUGUGAUCGACUAAUCUCCCAGCGGUGUGGUGGGGCGUCGUAGGAUUGAUUGCUGGAGCUUUUAGUUUGCCUUGCAUGCCAUAUUGUUAUCUCCUAUUAAAAGAGUGUGUACAGAGACUUGUACCCAGACAUAAAUCACAAAGCUUGGGUUCGGUCAGGCUUAAGGAGAAGUAAUCAAUUAUACUCUAGCAGACAUAAAGGAAGAGGCUGAGCUUGCACCCCCGGCUGCUCUCAUUAUCAUAAUCAUCCCCUUUAAGUGAUGCAGACUCGAACACGCAGACAAGAGAUAAAUUCAUGAACUACUGAGCCUGACAAAAAAUACAAAUUGAAGACAGUACCUCAGCAUUCAUAAAGGAAUUACAGUCCUUUUGCAUGAAAGAAAUUUAGUUCUCCGUAAGUCAGAUGACAGUUUUAGUGAUAUAAUAUAUUGUCUUGGGAGGUAACUGAAGAUUUAAAAAGAUGUAGUGGCCCUGGGAGUGUGCUUGGUUAUAGCUGGACAGCAUUUAUUUUUAUUAAGACCCUAAAAUAAUAUUCAAAAAUCCUUGAAAAGAGUCACAUCUCAAACUAUAUUUACUACUAAUGAUGAUCCGCUAACUGCUAACUUUUAUCACGUCGAUGACUCAGGCUUGCCAAACUUUUGUAAUUAUAAGUUCAAAGACCUCCAAGGGAGGGUCUGACAAAAGAUGCGAUUAAUCUGCAUAAAGGAAAGUAUAGGACUCUUGGGAAUUUGAACUUGAUUAUUAAAUCAACUGACUGUGUAAAUGUAAAGAGAUUACAUGCUGUGUGUGCUUUGAUUUCCUCCAGUUUUAGUGAAAUGCAAUACUAAGUUCAUGCAUACACCCAUCAGUCACAAAAAUAAACUGCCCCCCUGAUAAUGUACAGGUUCUCUCAUGCCAUCAAAACAGCUCUUCUCUGUCGGAAAUCAAAUACUUUAUUGAUCCCUGAUAGGAAAUGGCUUCAGUCGAGGUCUGGAUUCUGCAAGACCUCUAAAGCUAUCCUGCAGUAUGAAGCACCAAGACAUUAGCCACAUAUCUUUGAAGUUGCGAAAGAUACAAGGUGGUACCUGCAUGGAUCACACUUGUUUUCCCAGCAGAUCCCACCAGCGCUCAGUCGGAUUGAGAUCUGGGGAAUUUGGAGGCCGAGUCAAUACCUUGAACUCUUGGUCGUGCUCCUCAAACAAUUCCUGAAAAUUUUUUACACUGUGGAAGGAAACAUCGUCCUGCAAAAAGCCAUCAGUGAAUACUGUUGUCAUAGUUUGUGAGGAUUUUGAACACAAGUGUGAGAGCAACACAGAGCAGACACGAGGCAGAGUGGCAAUCACAGGUGUUUUAUUCUCAAAACACUCAAAAAUAUAACCAAAAUUGCCAACUAAGGGGCGGGAGACGCGGGCUGCUCUGUCGGCUCAGUUCUGUCUCCAGCACGGAGACGGGAAAUGGAGGAGAAUGAUCUGGCGCUGCGUGCAGUGCAGCGCCGGAUAGUGUUGUUUUUGGCGGCCUGUUUUGAUUUUAGUUUUAGUCUAGUCGUUGUGUCAAGCUGACAGUUUAGUUUUUUUAGUCAAGUUUUAGUCGACUAAAAGUCUGAGCAUUUUAGUCUUAUUUUAGUCAGAAUAACCUAUGACUAUUUUCGUCUAGUUUUAGUCGACGAAAACUGAUGACAUUUUAGUCUAGUUUUAGUAAAUGAAAAUUAUGUUUUACUCUCUUUUUAGUAAUGCAAUUCUAUUUAACCCAAUCGAUAUAGUAUAAUUUCCUUGUAUAGUAUAGACAAAACCAUUUUUUUCUUUUAGUCAAACCCAUUUCACAAAUUAAACAUGGUUAUCUUAUUAUUAUAUUAUUGUUAACUUAUAAACUCAAGAAUAUACUCACUCCGGACAUGGAAGAUGCUCUGGUCAACACAUUUAUUUUACCAACCAAACAUGUAGGUACACACACAUAAAUUUAAAUAAAAUAAAUAAAUAAAUAAAUAAAAUAGCAUCACAUGACUGGCAGAAAAAAAAUUAAUGUCGUGUUUUUCCCCGUUAUUUUGUGGUCGCAUUUCUCCCCGCCUUUUUCCACGACACAUUCCGUUUUGUUUUCCACUUGUAUGUAAACAAAGUAUGUCCAUAUAUCGCUUCUUCGUUUUCUCCCCAGCUGCCCGAAAGCUGGGAAACAGCACCCGGCCAUGAUCCCACCGCAGAUGCAUCUAAAUAAUGCCGCGAGUGAAGAUUGAGGAAGUGACGUCGCCUGCGUCAGCGCAGGUCGACGUCACUACCUGGGGAACAGAAAUACUGCAAAAUAAUAAACGCGACUAAACAUUUAAAUGUUAUUUCGUCUAGUCUCGUUUUGGUCAACGAAAAUGAAGAGACAUUUCAGCAGAGUUUUUAUUUCGUAAACCGAAUUUCGUCUCGUUUUUAUUCGUCAACAAUAUUGUAUGAUAUAUUUUAUUAUAGUUAUCGUCACAUAACCAACAUUUACUUUCGUCUCGUUUUCGUCAAGUGAUAAAGGUUCGUUGACGACGAUAUUUCGUCAUAAUUUUCGUCGACGAAAGCAACACUAGCGCCGGAUAAUCUAGUAGAGGAUGAUGAUUAGCUGCAGCUGCCCAGGUCCUGCAGCUGCAACUCACUGUCUCAUCAGCACUGACAACUGUUGUCAUAAAGGGAUUUAUGUGUUCUGUGAUGCCCAGAGCAUUCCACACCUUCCCCUGUCUCGUCUCCAUUACAUACUACAUUCUGCUACCAUGUCUUCCCAAGGUAAACAAUGCACAGGCAACAUUAACAUUUGUGGGUUAGCAUUAGCAUUUGGGUUUCUGAACACUAUGACAUUACUUCUUAGCUCAGUUUUUUUUUUUUUUGUCUUUGCCAACUUCUCUGAAGACUAUCUAACACUGUAGCUGUGAAAUGCUCCACUGUUCAAUUCCUAAUCACUAGUUUUGUCUGUUAUUUGGUUCUGAGCAAGUGUUGUGUUGUCCUUUAAUCAGAGCUGGUUUGCUAGAGAAGGCUGACUAAUGCUGUCUGAAAAUGAGGAUGAUAGCAAACAAAAAAUCAAUCUGUAAAACCAUAUCACCAUUUGCAACCAAAUGCACCAUAUAGCUGAGAUGAACUUUAGGUCUUUCUGGGUUUAUCAUUACGACUAGUUUGACUGAAUGCUGAUUGGGGCAUGAAAUUGAAACUGAAGUUGAGAAUAAACAACAACAAAUGCAUGUUGCCCUAAUUGUUGUGCCUUAUUAAAAAUUAAAGAUACAGAAGGUGAGAUGACAACUAGGGUUGCCACCUUUCAGAAAUGAAAAUAAAGGACGCCCACCACGGCUCCUUGGGGCCACAGUUCAGUAAAAUCGGAAAGAUAUUCACAGAUUCAGAAUUCCAGCAUCAAUAACUCAUUAUAAACGAUGCCUCUUUUCCAUCGCUGUAAGGUAGACAAUGUGCUACAAGCCUAGUUUUAUCAACAGUAGCUGUCUUUCAAGCUGCAGAAAUAACAUUGGUGUCAACAGGAACCAGUUGAAGGCUGCAGUGAUUUUGGUGACACUACAGUGUAUCAGAGAGAAACUGUUGAAUAUUUGUGUCUCUCUUUGCUGUUGCAGCAGUUUUGUAAUUUGCAGACGGUCCCUGUUCACUCCAUAGACAUCAGUGGUAUUCGUGCAGCUUCAAAGACAGCUACUGUUGAUAAAACUGGGCUUGUAGCACAUUGUCUACCUUACAACGAUGGGAAAGAGUGGGUCUCCUCUAAUCAGACAGUGCGAUGCUGCAGGUCACUACACUGACCACCUGUGCUUUGGGAAGGGGAGGAGCUCACAGCGCCACCUGCUGCUCGUUGAGCACAGUAACUGCAGAACGAUCCGAGCUUUCAUGUCAGACAGGGGCGGAUCCAGAUUAAUUUUAGUGGAGGGUGGGGGUACAACAGAUAUUUUGGGGGGUUGUAAGAAAAAAUGAAAGCUGCUACCGACCUCUCGCUUUUACAAAGUAUUUUUCAUGUUUUUUUUUGGCUCUUUAACCCAAUAGGAAAGCUGUAUAUGACCUUUUCAUUUUGGACUGUUAUUCAAAUUAUGAUGGACUUGUUUCCUUGUUUAUGUGAAUUACAACAUCAUUAGCUGCAACAUCUGCCUGUCUGUAAAACUGGUAGCUCAACGACAGCAUCCUGAGGGCAAUUAAGUGACAAAUAUUGUGCAAGAACAGCACUAUUACAACCCUGACAAUUUCCACUUCUUACAAUGUUUACUGCCGAUUAUCACACAUAAAACAAGAGAUAUUAUUCUGUACUAACAUUUCUGUACUAGCCAAUACACAGUGAAUAAAUAUGAUCUGAAAGUAAGGUUAUUGUUGUUUAUCAGCACAAUACAAAAAGAUUAAUGUUAGAAAUAUUCCAGUUAAGACUCUAGAAUACCAUGAUUUAUGUAAAUUUACCUCAAUAAUAUGAAUGUUCAGGUUAAGAUUGUACAGUGAUAUUUAUUAUGUAAGUUUAGCUGAUUUAAGUUUAUGACUCUGCACUAAAAUAUUAUUUAUUAUUUAAAUUUACAUCAUUAUUAUAAUAUUUAGGGUCAGACUCUACAGUAUUGAGAUUAAGAAAUCAAAUAUUCUAUAAAAUGUAAAUACACUGAACUCAUUUGGAUAUAUUUAAGUGAGACUCUACAGUAUUAUUUGACACAAAUCUAUCUAAAUCAAAAUUUUAAUAAUUUUCAUGCCAAACAUUUGCUGGACUGAUUUAAAUAUUAAAAUCAUUUCUUUGUAAUCCUCUGCUGUACGUUCAAACCUGAGGCCUUAAAUAGAAACACACAAGUAUCUGAUUGAAGGAACUUCUGCAGAGUCCUGGUUCCAGAACAUGAUGAUAGAAUUAUAGACAAACUUUAACAAAAGCUGCCUGAGAGUUUACAGGUUUUUAUGUUGGAUUUCUUCAGUAAUUUAAUGAGCGUUAUCAGCAAUAAUCAAGUGUUCAUUUGAUGAACUUCAUUUCCUAAAACAUCCAGAAUUGGAGCUCAUAUCUUUGGCAGCUGUAAAGUUUCUGCUCCUUCAAAGUUCACAACACAAUGAAUACACUCUCAAUGCUGGAGAGCGUUUGUGAUGCUGAAGCAGUGACCAUUUUUUCUGUUUCUUCUCUGGAGAUGCACAAUGAGGGACGUCUGCAGAGACUGAGAAAGAGUCUCACCACAUCCUGACAUGAGGAAAAAGACUUUAUUGAAGACUACAAUGAGAAAAACUAUCAGACAGCAGACGGCUGCAUUCAAGUCUGUAGCUGCUGAAUUCAUGGAUGAAUCAUCUGGCACUAGAGAAGAAGACCAUCAAACAUCCAUGUCAGCUGAUGGAGGUCCAAGAGUCUCACCGAACAAACAACUUACAGAGUGAAGACCUCGAAUCUGAUUGGACGGCCUCCUACUCAGCCUCUAAGUUGAUUUGUUUCCUAAAAUAAAUCUAGUUUGAGUCCUAA